Molecule: long non-coding RNA, 262 nt
Filed under: Nicotiana benthamiana
Lineage: Eukaryota; Viridiplantae; Streptophyta; Magnoliopsida; Solanales; Solanaceae
Description: long non-coding RNA (NBEN_LNC001502)
Source: RNAcentral
CCCUUCUCCCUCUGUUAGUUGUUCCUCUACUUCUGUUUGUCCUGUAUCUGCUUCUUGUAAGCAAAGUUGUUACAUUGCCUUCUCUGUCUGUUUCUUGUAAUGAUGACAUCUUGUCUGAUAACAAGGCUGUUCCUUUGCUUUCACAUGUGAAUAGUUCCAUCUGUAAUAAUGAUUUUGCAUCUGAUAUGAAUUACAUUUGGCACUGAAGACUUGCACAUACUCCUUUUGCAAAUAUGAAAUGCAUUUCUGGUCUGUCUUUUCC